GCGGCGGCAAGGAUGCGAGGUGCCCCACGCGCUGCGGCGCACGGGGAGAAUCAGGGAAGCCGGUGAGAAUCCGGCACAGGACCCGCUGCGGUGACCUGUCCGUCCUCGGUCACGCGCGACCCGCCGUACGGCGUGCGCGCAGCCACUGGGCUCCGGCCCGGGAAGGCGACCGAGCGGCAUGGCAGGAAGUCCGAAGACCGGCCUCGCGAACCCGGUCGCG
Molecule: non-coding RNA, 220 nt
Organism: Mumia flava
Lineage: Bacteria; Bacillati; Actinomycetota; Actinomycetes; Propionibacteriales; Nocardioidaceae
Source: Rfam